UACGUAGGGGGCGAGCGUUGCUCGGAUUGACUGGGCGUAAAGCGCGCGUAGGCGGUCCAUUAAGUGUGCGGUGAAAUUCAGAGGCUCAACCUCUGUCCCGCCGCGCAAACUGGUGGUCUUGAGAUUGGGAGGGGGAUGCGGAAUUCCUGGUGUAGCGGUGAAAUGCAUUGAUAUCAGGAGGAACACCGGCGGCGAAAGCGGCAUCCUGGCUUAUAUCUGACGCUGAGGCGCGAAAGCGUGGGUAGCAAACGGG
RNAcentral lists this ribosomal RNA (253 nucleotides) under uncultured bacterium. Its description in RNAcentral is "partial 16S ribosomal RNA". It matches the Rfam family "Bacterial small subunit ribosomal RNA", at positions 524 to 776 of the family's 1533-position model. The record is from RNAcentral.